UAGGUGGGACCAAACAAUAGCAGAUGAAUACUGUACCAAUGUACCACUUGCUUUUAAGUCAGCAAUUCCCCCCACCACAGCUGUAUGAUCUUACUGUUUUUAUGUGGCAGUUCUGGUUGCAAUUUAAAAAUGUAAGAUUUGCCCUUCUGGGUCAAAUCAAAAGUCCCAUCUAAUUUAGGAAUGGGAGUAUGUAGCCUUUGAGGUGUUGUUGGACCAAGUCUCAUCAACCCUGAUCAACCUAGCCAUGGUCAGCAAUAACAGAUGUUUAGUUCUGCAAGGAUUGGAAGGCCCCAGGUUACCUAUCCCUGAGCUAAUGAAAAUUCUCUCCCUGCUCGCUGCCAACCAAAUGUCUCAAGAAGUACAAUACAAUGUAUUCACCUUUUUAAGACCUCACAGUACAGUAUAUGCAGGCUUAUACCGGGUCCAGUUUAGAGUACUCCGCCCCUUCUUCACUUUAGAUCCAACAUGUAUACAAUCAGCACAACUGUCUGCAUAGUCAGAUGUACGCUUGUAGUUAUUAAAAUAUAACAUUCAACUCACACCAACUGUGUAUCUUUACGCGCAACAGUGGAACUGUACAAAAAUGAUCAAGGGCACACUUUCAAACAGAAACGUGUACGCACGUAUACACAGCUUGGAACCUUCAACUUAACGUGUGAACAAGGUUCCAAUGCGGAGAAAUCACGUGGUGCACACUCGGCACAGUCCUAAAACUGCUAAGCAGCAGUCUGCCCUCUUUUGAGAGCCCUAGCAGUGGGAUAUUGCUGAAGCCAGGCAAGAGGCGGCUCCACCAGAGGCGUCUGGGAGCGGGAUGCAUCGGCAAAUCCUCCAGCGGCCAUUACCCGCCCUUACAGCCGUAGGUGCGGAAUUAAAAUGGCUCCGCCCCCUCCCUCAAAUAAGCACGCGGCGGAGGACGUGGCGAAGCCCAUCGAAGGUAACCGGCCGCCAGAUCCCUCAACACCGGGAGCGAGGCCAAUCAGCCCACGCUCUUAGAGACGAAGCGAGUGAUUGGCUCGUUCCUUCAGAGGCAAAGGGAGCACAGCGUCUCGCGGAUGGGACCCUCCGAACCAACGUGCCUCCUGGGAGGCCCGCGUGCAAGCGACCACGCCCCCCUCUCGCGCGCGCAUAGAAACACCUGGGCAGCCACGUGAUCCGAGGCGUCGAAGGGCUGGCGGCGCGUCGCUGAAGCGCCGAGGAAGGCUUGGGCUUCGCGCGCGAAGGGAGCCUCAGUGGCGGAGGAGUGAGGUUCGAAUUCAAAUUAUGUAAGAACCGUGUUGCCUGCGGUUAAGAUACGUUACUGUUUCAUUUUAUUUUUUCCACCCUCGCCCGGUCUCUCUCCUGCCAAAGGCCCACCUGCCGGCUGGAAACCGCGGGAGGGGAGAGGGCCCUUGGGCUCCAAUCCUGUUUGCGUGCUUCCCACAGGCCUAAUCCAGCGGGGCUGCUCUCGGUGUCCUUAUGGCGUCCUCAUGUAGUUGCGCGCCUGCCAAGGCGGAUCCAGCCAUGCCCGGGAGAAGAGAUUCUUGCCACGCUCAGCUGAGGAGGAAGGAAGCCCCGCUUGGAUGCCACGAGUCGUUUGCUUCCCAAUGAGCCCGAGUUACGCGACGAGGCUGCGCGUCCGGGAAGCGGGUGGAAGCGGCUCCACCCCACUCAGCGCUCGCUUCUCCCGACCCAAUGGGAGGCGGAGACGCCCGAAGCCCCGCCCCGCCCCUACGGCUGCCGGCGAAUGCGAUAGGCGCAGGCGGCGAGCGAGGCUGCUUCGGAGCUUCCCGGAAGGGCGAGUUGGAAGCUUCCGAGGAACAGCCACGUCCGCUCGCAGAACUCAUCCAGGGCGCUGCAGAGAUGGAUUUUGAAGCAGUUGCAAAGUACUCAAAGCUCCAUGCCAAACCUCCAGGACUUUCUCUUCAGUAUGGAACAGCUGGUUUCCGUACCAAAGCAGAGGACCUUGAUCACACAAUGUUUUGCAUGGGUUUGCUGGCCGUAUUGAGAUCCAAGCAGAAAAAAUCCACCAUUGGCGUUAUGGUUACAGCCUCUCACAACCCUGAAGAAGACAAUGGUGUGAAGUUGAUUGACCCAUUGGGUGAAAUGUUGUCACCUAUCUGGGAAGAGCAUGCCACACACUUGGCCAAUGCAGAAGAACAUGAAUUGCAGGGAGUGCUGACUGACAUCUGCCAGAAGGAAGCUGUAGACCUUCAGCAGGAGGCCUUCAUUGUUAUUGGCAGAGACACCAGGCCUAGCAGUAAGAAGCUUUCACAAUCAGUGAUUGAUGGUGUGUCUGCUCUUGGAGGUCAAUACCAAGAUUAUGGCUUGGUAACAACACCACAACUACACUACAUGGUCUGCUGUCGAAACACUCAUGGGAGUUAUGGGACUGCAACCGUGGAAGGUUACUACCAGAAACUCUCCAAGGCUUUUGUGGAGUUUACAAAGCAGGCUACCAGCCAAAGGGAUGGUCACAUUUGCCUGAAGGUAGAUUGUGCAAAUGGCAUAGGUGCUCUCAAACUCAAAGAAAUGGAACGCUAUCUUCCAAGUUGCUUCGUAAUACACUUCAACAAUGAUGGGACUAAAGGAGAACUCAAUCACCAAUGUGGUGCCGAUUUUGUAAAAGUUAAUCAGAAGCCUCCUGUGGGACUGGAAAUGAAGCCUGAUGAGAGAUGCUGCUCAUUCGAUGGUGAUGCUGACCGAAUUGUUUACUACUAUAAUGACCCUGCUGGCCAUUUUCACCUUCUUGAUGGAGAUAAAAUAGCAACUCUAAUCAGCACUUUUCUUAAGGAACUUCUGGUCAAGGCUGGGCAGAUCUUAUCAUUUGCAGUCAUACAAACAGCCUAUGCCAAUGGGAGCUCUACACGUUAUUUGGAAGAAACCAUGAAGGUGCCUGUCCACUGUGCAAAAACAGGAGUGAAGCACUUGCAUCACAAGGCCCAGGAAUUUGACAUUGGAGUUUAUUUUGAAGCAAAUGGUCAUGGCACGGUCCUGUUUAGUAAAGCUGCAGAAGAGAAGAUAAGGUACCAGGCAAAAGAGGAAAAAAACAACCAAAAAAGAGAAGCUGCAAAGAUCCUUGAAAAUACUAUUGACUUGAUAAAUCAGACGAUUGGUGAUGCUCUUUCAGACAUGCUGGUGAUUGAAGCCAUCUUGGCGUUGAAGAAUCUCACAGUACAACAGUGGGACACCAUGUACACAGAUCUUCCCAACCGGCAACUCAAAGUGAAGGUUGCUGACAGACGUGUAAUUGACACUACGGAUGCUGAAAGGCGAGCAGUUACACCCCCAGGGCUGCAGGAGAGAAUUGAUGAGCUCACCCAGAGGUUUAAAUUGGCUCGAGCUUUUGUUCGCCCAUCUGGAACAGAAGAUGUCGUCAGAGUCUAUGCUGAAGCAGACACACAGGAAAAUGCAGAUAAACUUGCACAUGAAGUUAGCCUGGCUGUCUACCAUAUAGCUGGAGGAGUUGGAGAACAGCCCAAAGCUGUAGUAUAAUGAAGUACCGUUCUUUAAGGGAAAGAAUUUGGGUAAAGCAUGGGGCUCCCUGAAUGACCAAUGCUUCUGCUGGUGAUUUUGCUGUUAAAUACUUGGCUCAGGACGUUGAAGAAAGGCAGAAGCUGUUCAAUGCUGCGAACAGCACAGAUGGUCAGGAGCAAGCUGCCAGGUUCCCAGUUUAGUGUUUUUCCUGAGCUGUCCUCCUCUGGGUUUUUCUGUUAAUAUGUGGGAAGAGAGGAGAGGAGAGUUUCAAGACAAAGCAGUGCUGCAGGAGACUUCAAAAAUUCACUGUUUUGCUAAUCGUACUACGUAUGGUUUGAAUUCCCUUUGGUGUGUGCCUUGUCUUCGCACCUCCAACCCUGAAUCAUCAGAAGCUUCUGGAAUAAAGGCCCAGCGAUACCUGUUAAAGAAAAAGAGGACAAAGUCACCACUUCGUUGCACAUUCAGCAAGUUAUCUUUGGCAAGAACACCCCAGCCCUCCCUAGUUGAGUCAACUUAUAUCCAGGCAUGUCUUUAUGUACCCAAAAUAUGCUAAGAAUAACCAAGAUCCAUGGGAGUAAAAUUAGAUGCAUAAAAUGAUAAAUAGCAAUCUGUUUCACAGAAGCCACUUCUAAGAAGAAAUAUUCUGAAAGCAUUGUUUGCUCUGUUCUGCCCACCCCUUUCCGAUUUCCUUUUGUUCAUAUUUGCCAAAUGGUAAUAAAACACACCCUUCCAUACAUAUUGGGACACAGUCUUGGGCAUCUGACAGAAGCAUAACAGCACAGGGGCUGGUUAGUGGGGAGAGGGCCCCUAUCCAAGUUGCUUCUCCUGAAUUUCUACCAACGCUAUAAGGAGGGCCUUUCCCUGAUGGGGAGCUGUGCCACCCUAAGCCACAUUUUCACUGCCAUAACACAAGGUGAGGUGGCAGAAGGCAGUGAAAGCACCCGCCCUUGACAGUCCAUAAAGACUAAAUAUGAAGGUUUUCUCACAAUGAAGUGUUUCUACGGCACACUUUGAUUUGAAUGAGAUCAAGUGUACUUACAUCUGAAACUGAGGAAGAUUUUCAGAGGGCAGUGCCAAGGCUAAAUCCAGAAAUUUACAAGCUGACAAAUAAAGAUUUAACCAUCUCUGGCUGUUGUAGGAUGUCGAGAAUCCAUUGCCUCCAGUGUAUGUAGUUUCCAGGCCAGCAACAGAUGGUCCUGCAGUUCUACAAUUUGAAUGAAUUUACUACAGGUUAUUCUUAAUCAGUUAUGUCCACACUUCACAAAUCAAUGCUCUUCUCUUAGAGAACUCUCCCAGUUCACUUAAAGUAUGUGCUAUGAGGAUAACUUUUAUAUUACCCUUCUAAAAACACCAUGUAAACAAUUUUAACAAGACAGUUGCAGCUAGUAGUUCUAAAUAACACUUCGUUUGUUCAGAUAAUUUAGUGUAAAGAAGCAAGACCAAAGUUUGAUUUACUUUACAAUACAGUGAUACCUCGAUUUACGAAUUUAAUCCAUUCCGAACGGACCUUCGUAAGUCGAAGCCAAUGGAUAAUUUUUUAAAAGAAAUUUGUAAGUCGAAAAAAUCCUAUCUAAACUGCAUCCAAAAUGGCGGAUAGAACUCUAUUCGUAUCUCGAAACAUUUGUAAGUCGAGUCAUUCAUAAGUUGAGGUACCACUGUAUUGAGUCCUGUCUGACUAAUUUGAUCUCUGUGAACUGACUGCAUUUAUUAAAUAAACAUGAACUGGAAUUUUAAAAA
Molecule: non-coding RNA, 5190 nt
Organism: Zootoca vivipara (common lizard)
Lineage: Eukaryota; Metazoa; Chordata; Lepidosauria; Squamata; Lacertidae
Source: RefSeq, a predicted model, not a curated record